Molecule: transfer RNA, 103 nt
Organism: Trametes pubescens
Lineage: Eukaryota; Fungi; Basidiomycota; Agaricomycetes; Polyporales; Polyporaceae
Rfam family: tRNA
About the family: Transfer RNA (tRNA) molecules are approximately 80 nucleotides in length.
Source: Rfam
GCCUGGAUGGCUCAGUUGGUUAGAGCGCAGGUCUCAUAUUUCUAUAUGACCAUCUACGGAAUGGGUAAUCCUGAGGUCAUGAGUUCGAUCCUCAUUCCGGGCA